ACAGCUGUCUGGUUGGACUUAAGGUCUAUUCAACAGGAAGGGCAUCACGUCUGGUACUGGAAACCUAGCCAGCUUCCCUGUGGUGGUGAAGUCAUGGACUUUUAGAGAAUAAUCCACUACCACUGUCAUUUUUCUGGACCAGAACAAUUUCUUCCCACAUUCUAAAUUUUAUCCUUAUAAUUACAGAUGAGUGUAACUACCACCCUUCAUCAAAGAAGCUUCUCUUCAGAGCAAGUGGAGGCCAUCACAGAAAACCACAACUGUACACAGUGCAGAGAUUAACGGGUUGUGGAGAGCCCCAAUGGAUAAGUCUACAUCAUAGUUGGUUGUGCCUCAGGGAACAGGGAAGGUGGGGCAGUAAGACUCUAAAAGCCAGAAUUCAAGAAAGCCUGCAAAAAACCUCUUGUACUAACAUGCGAGGGGGUAAUUUUGUAGAGUCGCACCUCUAAACAAAAGCCUAUAGCUUUUAAAUAUUAGAAUGGUUUCUUUAUGCCAGUUAUAGCUGUUAAUGUAGGAGCUCAGAAUUUUUCAAAAUGCAGAGAAUAAAUAUCUGCAGGAUGUUCAGCCACAAACAUGACAUCUAUAUCACGCCUCCUACUAAGGCCCAGGAGCCAUUGUGGAGGAGCAGCCAGAGGUUGGGAAGCAUCAGAGGCAAACAGUAUGUUUUUUACUUGCUAGAACUACAGAAUUCAUAAAUUCACAGCAAUAUAGUUGCCUGCACAAGAUCAAACCAGUAUUGCAACAUGGGUGUGUGAAAGGGUCAUAAGUUCCCACUCAUAGCUACUGAUAAUUGCUAUCUGUUGAGGUAGGAAGAGUUGGUUUUCUUUAAGGGUGUAGUCCCUGGUAGGUCCACCAUACUCCAGUGGAUGUCCCCACAAAGAUGAGUUUAUGGGCAGUACAAAAUGGAAUUUGUACUGUCAAACAAACACCUACACACAGACACACAGACACACAGACACACACACACACACACACACACACACACACACACACGAGGACAGGAAGUUGAGAGGGAUUGGGAAGAGUGUGAGUUGAAUAUGAUCUGUACACAUUGUAUGCAUAUAUAAGAAUCUCAGCUCUUGCUUUCCUGUUCUCUCUUGCUCUUGCUUUCCCUUUCUCCUUCUCUCUCCACGUGCUUAUGCCUGGCCUCUCCCCCCUCCUCCUCCUCCUCCUGUUCCUUCUCCUCCCGUUCCUCCUGUUCCUUCUGUUCCUCCUCCUCCUACUCUUCCUCCUUUUCUUUUUUUUUUUGGUGUUUUUUUUUUAUUUUAUUUUUUUUAUUAACUUGAGUAUUUCUUAUAUACAUUUCAAGUGUUAUUCCCUUUCCCGGUUUCCGGGCAAACAUCCCCCUCCCCCCUCCCCUUCCUUAUGGGUGUCCCCCUCCCAACCCUCCCCCCAUUGCCGCCCUCCCCCCAUAGUCUAGUUCACCUCUUCCUCCUUUUCUUCUUCUCCCCCCUUUCUCUUCCUUUCUCUGCCCAUACUACCCCAUUAACUCUCUUCCCUAUGUUUAAUUAAAACAUCACGGUUUAAAGUUAGGAAACACGGGUCUGGAGACAUGGUUCAGCAAUUAAGAGAAUUGUCUGCUCUUCCAGAGGACUAGAGUUCAAAUCUCAGCAUCCCCUUCACACAAACACAUGUAGACACAAUGCCAAUGAACAUAAAAUACCAAUGCAAAUCUCUGCCUCCAUGUCUGGUCCCAUGACAUUCUUUCCUUAUAUGUUUUCUUAUCAUGGAAUCUUUCUCCUUCCUCAUAAAGGUCUCCAGUCACAUUGGCUUUAGGACCAUCCAUAACAACAUCUGUGGAAACUAUCUUCUGCUUAAAUCACUUCGGGGGCCAGCAAGAUGGCUAAGCAGGUGAAGGAACCAAUUCUGAUGGUCUGAAUUCUAUCCUUGAGACUCCUAUGAAAGCAAGCCGGAAGACACUAGCCCAGCUAUCACACUGAUGACACAGUGCUGGUCUGACCACCAAGACUUACCGUAGAACCAGGCCACCCCAAUGGCUUCAAUGAGCACGCCAAAGAGGAUAGAUGUGCCAGCUGCAAAGUGGUCCAGCAGUGUGAAGACGUAGAUGCCACCCUGGAAGAGAGGGGAUCUUAGUGAGCUUGGGGACAGCUGCAGCAACUCCACCAUCGAACUAUCUUCCCUAAAAGGCAAUCCAUUCUGUGGGUUCACUGUGGAUAUAUAUCUUAUUUACCUCUAUAGAGUUUGAUUUGACUCAUGGAUUCACACACAGCUUCUUCGAAACACAUCCAUUACAAUAAAAAUAGAAACCACUUC
Long non-coding RNA from Rattus norvegicus (Norway rat), 2274 nucleotides. RefSeq lists it as uncharacterized. The record is from RefSeq and is a predicted model, not a curated record. Lineage: Eukaryota; Metazoa; Chordata; Mammalia; Rodentia; Muridae.